RNAcentral lists this ribosomal RNA (465 nucleotides) under uncultured bacterium. Its description in RNAcentral is "partial 16S ribosomal RNA". It matches the Rfam family "Bacterial small subunit ribosomal RNA", at positions 338 to 795 of the family's 1533-position model. The record is from RNAcentral.
CCUACGGGGGGCAGCAGUGGGGAAUAUUGCGCAAUGGGCGAAAGCCUGACGCAGCGACGCCGCGUGAGGGAUGAAGGUCUUCGGAUCGUAAACCUCUGUCAGCAGGGAGGAACGGUCACUGUGCUAAUCAGCAGUGAAUUGACGGUACCUGCAAAGGAAGCACCGGCUAACUCCGUGCCAGCAGCCGCGGUAAUACGGAGGGUGCGAGCGUUAAUCGGAAUUACUGGGCGUAAAGCGCACGUAGGCGGUAUGUCAAGUCAAGGGUGAAAUCCCCGGGCUCAACGUGGGAACUGCCUUUGAAACUGGCAGGCUGGAGUGUGGGAGAGGAGAGUGGAAUUCCAGGUGUAGGAGUGAAAUGCGUAGAGAUCUGGAGGAACACCAGUGGCGAAGGCGACUAUUUGGCCGAUAACUGACGCUGAGGAGCGAAAGCGUGGGUAGCAAACAGGAUUAGAUACCCUAGUAGUC